AUUGAACGCUGGCGGCAGGCCUAACACAUGCAAGUCGAGCGAGCGGCGGACGGGUGAGUAAUGUCUGGGAAACUGCCUGAUGGAGGUGGAUAACUACUGGAAACGGUAGCUAAUACCCCAUACCAUCAGAUGUUCCCAGAUGGGAUUAGCUAGUAGGUGGGGUAACGGCUCACCUAGGCGACGAUCCCUAGCUGGUCUGAGAGGAUGACCAGCCACACUGGAACUGAGACACGGUCCAGACGCCUACGGGAGGCAGCAGUGGGGAAGAUUGGACAAGGGGCGAAAGCCUGAUGCAGCCAGGACGCGUGUGUGAAGAAGGCCUUCGGGUUGUAAAGUACUUUCAGCGGGGAGGCGUUACCCGCAGAAGAAGCACCGGCUAACUCCGUGCCAGCAGCCGCGGUAAUAC
This 406-nucleotide ribosomal RNA is filed under the name uncultured bacterium. Its description in RNAcentral is "partial 16S ribosomal RNA". It matches the Rfam family "Bacterial small subunit ribosomal RNA", at positions 30 to 526 of the family's 1533-position model. The record is from RNAcentral.